Molecule: ribosomal RNA, 774 nt
Filed under: uncultured Neocallimastigales
Lineage: Eukaryota; Fungi; Neocallimastigomycota; Neocallimastigomycetes; Neocallimastigales
Description: partial large subunit ribosomal RNA
Rfam family: Eukaryotic large subunit ribosomal RNA
Source: RNAcentral
UAUGUGAUCGUCUCUCGCAUAUCAAUAAGCGGAGGAAAAGAAACUAACAAGGAUUCCCCUAGUAACGGCGAGUGAAGCGGGAAGAGCUCAAAUCUGAAAUCUUAAAGGGUUUCCCUUUACGAAUUGUAGUUUAAAGAAGUGUUUUCUGUUGAGGUUUUGGUAAAAGUUCUUUGGAAUAGGACAUCAUAGAGGGUGAGAAUCCCGUAUUUGACCUUCACUUUCAACUUUGUGAUACACUUUCAAAGAGUCGGAUUGUUUGGGAAUGCAGUCCAAAAUGGGUGGUAAAUUUCAUCUAAAGCUAAAUAUUGGCGAGAGACCGAUAGCGAACAAGUACCGUGAGGGAAAGAUGAAAAGAACUUUGAAAAGAGAGUUAAACAGUACGUGAAAUUGUCAAAAGGGAAGCGUUUGACACCAGUGUUGUUUUUCUGAAAAUCAAUUAAAGAACUGUUUAUGCUAAGUUGUUUAGACUUUAUCAGCUAUCUGUUUAGUUUUGAGCUUUUCUUUAAUGCACUUUUCAGUUAACAAGUCAACAUCAAUUUCUUUUGCUGUAAAAAAGCUUGAGGAAGGUGGCUUGAGAUUCGUCUUAAGUGUUUAUAGCCUCUUGCCUAUGCAGUCGGAGAGAUUGAGGUCUGCAGCGUAGAUCCUUCGGGGCUAAAUGCAUUUGUGCUAAGUUAUAACAUUUUAUAGACAACUUGUUGACUAUGAUUUGUCUUGUAGCUUACUCGCUUAUGUUAUUUUACCUACGCUUAGGAUGUUGAGUAGCGACAUACGCAC